UUAAGCAUAUCAAUAAGCGGAGGAAAAGAAACCAACAGGGAUUGCCUCAGUAACGGCGAGUGAAGCGGCAACAGCUCAAAUUUGAAAUCUGGCUCCUUCGGGGUCCGAGUUGUAAUUUGUAGAGGAUGCUUCGGGUGCGGCACCGGUCUAAGUCCCUUGGAACAGGGCGUCAUAGAGGGUGAGGAUCCCGUAUGUGACCGGCGACCAAGUCCAUGUGAAGCUCCUUCGACGAGUCGAGUUGUUUGGGAAUGCAGCUCAAAAUGGGUGGUAAAUUUCAUCUAAAGCUAAAUACCGGCCAGAGACCGAUAGCGCACAAGUAGAGUGAUCGAAAGAUGAAAAGCACUUUGGAAAGAGAGUCAAAAAGUACGUGAAAUUGUUGAAAGGGAAGCGCUUGUAACCAGACCUGCCGUCGGGUGCUCCGCGGGCAUUCUUGCCCGUCCACUCACCCGCGAUCAGGCCAGCAUCGGUUUUGGCGGCCGGAUAAAGACUCGAGGAAUGUAGCUUCGCUUCGGGGAAGUGUUAUAGCCUCUUGUGCAAUACGGCCAGCCGGGACCGAGGACCGCGCUUCGGCUAGGAUGCUGGCGUAAUGGUUGCAAGCGACCCGUCUUGAAACACGGACCAAGGAGUCUAACAUCUAUGCGAGUGUUUGGGUGUCAAACCCAUGCGCGGAAUGAAAGUGAACGGAGGUGGGAACCCUUAAGGGCGCACCAUCGACCGAUCCGGAAGUUUACGGAUGGAUUUGAGUAUGAGCAUAGCUGUUGGGACCCGAAAGAUGGUGAACUAUGCCUGAAUAGGGUGAAGCCAGAGGAAACUCUGGUGGAGGCUCGCAGCGGUUCU
Molecule: ribosomal RNA, 837 nt
Filed under: Ramalina subgeniculata
Lineage: Eukaryota; Fungi; Ascomycota; Lecanoromycetes; Lecanorales; Ramalinaceae
Description: LSU rRNA
Rfam family: Eukaryotic large subunit ribosomal RNA
Source: RNAcentral